CUUAUUGCAACAUAUUUAAACCACAUAUUGUUAUUAUGGAAAACCCAUAAAGAUGGCUACAACUAAAGCAAUUAGCUAGGAGUUGUCCUGCUUGUUUAAUGAGGGGGGUAGAAUGGACUUUCUCCUUGUUACUUAGUUUGUCCUUAAAUUGGUACAUAUUCAUGGAUGGAGGGAGUAUGUGUUAUUUACUACCGGCUCUGUUAGUUUUUAGUGGACACAGUUUGAAUGUUGAGAAUACUAAUUAAUCUAUCUUUCAUCAUGAAUUCAUUUUAUAAUAUUUUGCUAAUAGUCACAAAAUUGAAACCAUUAGUAAGUGACUUAAAUAUGAAUCUAAUUGUUCUAAUUUUGUAAUAUCUAACUUAUUACCACACAUUCAGGAAUUACUACUGGUCAGUCAAAAUGUGGUUUUGAUGGCGAAACUAUACUCGUUAAAAUGAGCAGAAGUAGUAAUACAUUGUUUGUGCAAUUAGGAAAUGGAAGCUGACUUUGUUCUGGUCAUCCAAAGAGAAUUAGCAUAUGAAUGGAGAUUCCCUUAUUUCGGAGAAAUUUGCUGUAUUGAUCCUUGAAAUAUGUUCACAGUUUACGCUCCAAACAAUGGCUUCUCAGUUUUGAUACUCCAAACCUGUGCCUGAUUUCUUGACAUUCUAACCUUAUCAGACACUUCAUUUUCCUUUUCCUAUUCAGGCCAACUAAAAUGGCCAUCUUUCCAUUUAACUCUAUUUUAC
This 725-nucleotide long non-coding RNA is filed under the name Setaria viridis. Its description in RNAcentral is "long non-coding RNA (SVIR_LNC009814)". The record is from RNAcentral. Lineage: Eukaryota; Viridiplantae; Streptophyta; Magnoliopsida; Poales; Poaceae.